AACGCGUGGGUAAUCUGCCUCAUACAGGGGAAUAACAGCUAGAAAUGGCUGCUAAUGCCGCAUAAGCGCACAGGACCGCAUGGUCUGGUGUGAAAAACUCCGGUGGUAUGAGAUGAACCCGCGUCUGAUUAGUUAGUUGGCAGGGUAACGGCCUACCAAGACGACGAUCAGUAGCCGGCCUGAGAGGGUGGACGGCCACAUUGGGACUGAGACACGGCCCAG
This 222-nucleotide ribosomal RNA is filed under the name uncultured Bacillota bacterium. Its description in RNAcentral is "uncultured Firmicutes bacterium partial 16S ribosomal RNA". It matches the Rfam family "Bacterial small subunit ribosomal RNA", at positions 112 to 334 of the family's 1533-position model. The record is from RNAcentral. Lineage: Bacteria; Bacillati; Bacillota.